ACUGCACUACCUCUGAACUGAAACAGUCCAUGCGUUCGAGAACUAACCUAACCUAGGUUCGAGAACCUUACCUGAGUGCUCUCCCUCUCAUUUUAUCUUACUUUCGUAUCUCUGUCACUCUAACGCUGCGCAUCAUGCGUGGAAACGGAACGCACCCUCUGUUACCUGAGUGCUGUAAGAAACACGCACACCAUCUAGAGGCAGAGUGACGGAGUAGUACAUAUUUUGCGAGUUCACCAAUGUAUAAGCAAGAGGUUAUGUAUGGUAGUGACACUGUAUAUUGUAGUUUUUUGAAAUUAGAGGUAAAUAUUUCAAUAUAAUUUAAUAUUAUCAUCUUUGUUAAUAAUUUUUUUACAUUGAAAUAUAUACCACGCUUGUAAUAUAAUAUUAGGGAGGCUAAAAGGAUUGUAACAAAGUUUGGUAAUAUAUCCAUUAUAUUUAUGUAAAAAGUAUAAUACGUUUUAUUGAAAAUAAAUUGUUCAGAAUUACAAUGUCUCAAUUAAAAAGAAGAAAAGACUUAAAGUUUAUGUCAAAGAGAAAUAUCUGAUGAAUUAUUCAGUCAGAAAUUCAAAGAAGUAGUGCUUUAGAUUUACACGGUGAACAUAAGCUAUAAUAUAGUAGACAAGACUGACUAUGAUACGAUAUUAAUUAAUAAUGAAGAUGACAGCAACUUAUUGACUUUUAACGUGGAAGCAGAUAAACCUGCAGAUCAAGAUGAUACUGUUAACAAUAAUGAAAAAGGAGAAGCUAGCAGAAUGGGCUGUUGACGCUAAUUCGCCUCAUAAUCAUCUACAUGAUUUAAUGAACUUAUUAAGAACAGUGAAUUCAUUGUCUGAACUACAAGAUCUUCCUCAACAUCCUCGAACAUUAUUGCAGACUCCUCAAUAAACAUUGAAAAGAGUUGUGACUCCUGAUUAUAAUCAUGACGGAGUUUGCAAUUGUUGAAUUUGUCGACGGUGUCCAAUUAGUACCCAAACUUUGGUUACAAAAUAAUGAUACUUGUUAUGGGCCAAAAUUACACAAUCAGUCUAAAUACUAUAAAUUAGUUGAAAAUAAAGAGCCGUAUAAUUUGCAAUGGGAAAAAUACAAUAUCAUAUCAGUUCUAGCAGAAACUGAUACGUUUCAGAAAGGACUCGCAAAAUUAAAAGAAUCCGAAAUCUUCACUGACAUUAAUACAGAUAUCGAUGAAAUAACUAGGAGAAAGAAGAGAAAAAGAAUCCAAAAAGGAAUUACUUCUUCUAGUGACGAAAAUUGCGACUAUAAUACAGAAAUGGAAAAAUUUCCUUCGCCUCUAAAACAGGUUAAUAAUAAAUCUAACAUCACUGUGUCUACACAUUUUUCAUCACUAAGAAGUCAUCAAUCUUCUUCAAAACCUCAAUGCCAUGAAACAAUAAAAAAGUACGAAGGUAUGUAAGGAGAUGUGUGAAGGCAAUUUAGAUAUUGUGUGGACUAUUAUUUAUAUAAUAUAAUCUAUUUUAAAUACAUAAUUAUUUUAAGUAAUAUCCCAGAUAGCCAAACCUGUGCGAGCAGAUUUUACGCAGAGUCUGUCAACAGUGUCUGUUGACAGAAUGGUAACAGACUG
Molecule: RNA transcript, 1582 nt
Organism: Odontomachus brunneus
Lineage: Eukaryota; Metazoa; Arthropoda; Insecta; Hymenoptera; Formicidae
Exons: 5
Source: RefSeq, a predicted model, not a curated record